RNAcentral lists this transfer RNA (67 nucleotides) under Einfeldia sp. RNAcentral's name for it is "tRNA-Pro". The record is from RNAcentral. Lineage: Eukaryota; Metazoa; Arthropoda; Insecta; Diptera; Chironomidae.
CAGAAAAUAGUUUAUUUAAAAUAUUAAUUUUGGGAAUUAAAGAAGAAUUAUUUUUAUUCUUUUCUGA